CCUGCACCAAUAAUUUUAAUUAUUUUUGAUUGAAUGGUAGCCCAUUGAGAUUGGUCCAAUUUUAUGUAAUAUAUUGAUUCAUAAUUCACGAUGAUCAUAUUUUUCACAGGAAAAUCUAUCCUGAUAAGAAGUAACACCAACUGGUUCUCAAACGCUUCUCAAUGGCGCGAAUCGGAGCUCAUUGUCGGGUCUGGACAAACACGUCCAUGGUUGUCGUCUCCACUUUCUUGCUAGGUUUAGUCAUUGUUUCGGCUCAAAGAGAAUCCCCAGGCGAGAUAACAGCUGGUUCCAACGACGAUACAUACCCUUUUUCUACUUAUCUUGUCAACGCCAUAGAUUUCCUAUGGAAACCUGGUCGAUCUGGUUAUCAACAUGUCUGGCCAGAAAUGAGAUUUGGAUGGCAGAUCGUUGUCGGCACAUUGAUUGGAUCCUUGGGAGGAGCGUUUGGGAGUGUGGGGGGUGUUGGCGGCGGCGGCAUAUUUGUUCCAAUGUUAAUGCUCAUUAUUGGGUUUGAUCCAAAAUCAGCAACUGCUAUUUCAAAAUGCAUGAUCACCGGUGCAGCCAUCUCGACCGUUUACUUCAACUUGAAGUUGAAGCAUCCUACGUUUGAUAUACCCAUGAUUGACUAUAAUAUGGUGCUGCUCAUGAUGCCCAUGCUCAUGCUGGGGAUUACCAUAGGGGUCAGUUUAAGUGUUGUAUUUGCAAAUUGGAUGAUCACUCUCCUCCUAAUCAUUAUUUUCACAGGUACCUCAAUCAAGGCAUUAUUCAAGGGCGCUGACACGUGGAAAAAGGAAACCAUAAUAAAACAGGAGACCGCCAAGCUUUUGGAGUCUACUGCAACGGCUAGUGGGUUAGCAGAGUACAAGUCUCUUCCAGCAGGGCCUCAAAUGGACACUGAAAAAGCUCAGGUUUCCAUUAUUGGCAACGUUUAUUGGAAAGAGUUCGGAAUUCUUUGCUUUGUCUGGCUAGCAUACCUUGUCCUGCAGAUUGUCAAGGCAAACAUAAUAUCCAUAUUCACAGACUCGCACAGCAACAUGUUCAGUCACAUUCUGGAUAGUAAAUUUUUUACAGGUGCCAGUUUCGUUUGGAGUGUAUCUAUACCAAGCAAUUGGGCUCUAUCAGGGUUGGAAAGCCAUUCCUUCAAAAGGAGAUCAAGGCACUCGUUUGCCAUUGCACCAUCUGAUUCUCGCCAUUGUUUGUGCUGUCACGGCUGGAAUUGUAGGUGGCCUUCUCGGUAUAGGCAGCGGAUUUGUCAUGGGUCCUUUGUUUUUGGAAUUGGGAAUCGCUCCUCAGGUAGCGAGUGCCACAGCCACGUUAGGAAUGACAUUCUCUGCUUCCAUCUCUGUUGUGCAAUAUUACCUUUUGAACCGUUUUCCUGUCCCUUACGCUUUCUAUCUCACCACUGUGGCAGCCAUUUCAGCAUACAUAGGGCAGUACAUCAUUGACAAGCUGGUUACAUUAUUUGGAAGGGCGUCUCUGAUUAUCUUUGUUCUAGCCUUCACAAUAUUUGUUAGUACAAUUGCACUGGGUGGAGUUGGUACGUCAGACAUGAUUGAAAAGAUUCAGCGGAAUGAAUACAUGGGAUUUGACGACUUCUGCAAAUAGGGGCUCUGUUUCAUGGCCUGUACACAAUGUGGUUGCCUCUAGAGUUUUAUGGUCUCGUAUGCGAUAUUCACAUGAGAGGUUGUAUAAGAAUGAUAUUAUAAAUGUGAUUGGUCUUUAUAUUCAUAGCACACUGUUUUGGGGAUAUACGUGUGACUAGCCCUCCAGUUUUUGUCCAUAUUCUAGUUUAUUAUAUAAUAGUUGACACUUGUUCAAAAUAAUUAUUGGUUUCUUU
Molecule: RNA transcript, 1837 nt
Organism: Prosopis cineraria
Lineage: Eukaryota; Viridiplantae; Streptophyta; Magnoliopsida; Fabales; Fabaceae
Gene name: sulfite exporter TauE/SafE family protein 3-like
Exons: 12
Source: RefSeq, a predicted model, not a curated record